This 3333-nucleotide long non-coding RNA is filed under the name Eucalyptus grandis. RNAcentral's name for it is "long non-coding RNA (EGRA_LNC003473)". The record is from RNAcentral. Lineage: Eukaryota; Viridiplantae; Streptophyta; Magnoliopsida; Myrtales; Myrtaceae.
CUUCUUUUGUUGCAUUUUGGAAUGCGGUGGUGUUGGGGAUGGGACCCUCAAACUUGUUGUGAGAGACGUCCACCUCCAUCAAACCUCGCAUAUCCUUGAAAGUCUCAUAUAUAAGGCCAGAAAGAUUAUUGUGUGAAAGGUUGAGUUUCACUAGGCUUUCUAGCUUGUUGAAUUGAGUUGGGAUCUCACCGCUUAACAAGUUAUGACUCAAGUCUAGCUCGGAUAAAUGAGUUAGCAUCCCUAAUUGGCCUGGAAUAUCUUGGCUCAACUGGUUGUUGCUCAGAUCCAGGUGGAUUAAUUUUGAAGAAAACCCGAUAGUCUGCGGGAUAGACAUGCUUAAUCUAUUCCUUGACAAAUCCAAUUUUUGAAGACCAGGUAGCAACACAAUAUCUGGACUUAUUCGGUCAGAAAGUUGGUUCCUACUUAAAUUCAAAUUCACCAAAGAAGUCAAUUUUCCGAAUUCUUUCGGAAGCUCACCAACUAAGCUGUUGAAGGAAAGAUCAAUUGCACCCAAUUGAGUUGCGUUUCCAAUCUCUGGAGGCAAGCUACCAGUGAUGUUAUUUCCCGCAAUUCUUAGAUCCCUUAAACGCAUGCAACUUCCCCAAUUUGUUGAGAUUUCUCCAUAGAACUUGUUGAAACUCAGGUCGAUAAAGGUUAGGUUGGGGUAGACACUGAAGGUCUCGGAUAUGUUUCCAGUGAGCUGGUUUUCCUCAAAGCGUGCUCUGACUAAGCUUGUGCAAUUUCUCAAGCUUCUAGGGAUAGAACCAAUUAAGUUGUUGCCACUCACUGUAAGCUUUUGGAGCAACCCACCUUGGCAUAGUUUCUCUGGUAAGAAGCCGCUUAACUGGUUGGUGUCCAAUUGCAGCACCUUCAAGUUCACUAGAUCCCCUAAGGAUCUAGGAAUUGAACCAAAAAGGUGAUUGUCACGGAGAAACAAAGAUGUUAGGUAGGUCAAGUUACCCAAAGAAGAAGGAAUUGGGCCGGUGAGCUGAUUUGUACUUAGCUCUAAGUCAAGCAUAGCGUGGAGAUUUCCCAUUUCAUUAGGAAUGUGACCGGAAAGGUUAUUACCGUAGAGAUAAAGAGAGGUAAGCUCCAUCAAAUUGCCUAAUGUUGGUGGGAUUGAACCCAUAAGAUUAUUAUCAUUAAGGCUCAACUCAUUAAGACGAUUCAAAUUCCCUAGCUCCAGUGGGAUGGAACCAGUAAGCUCAUUAGCAAAUAGGUUCAGCUCUGUCAAUUUGGUUAAGUUCCCCAAAGUGGAAGGAAUCGGUCCUGUUAGGAAGUUGUUGUCCAUGUGGAGCACUUCCAAAUUUGUCAUAUUUCCCAUUUCAGGAGGAAUAGAACCAGAAAGGGAGUUGUUGUAGACAUACAGUAUAGCCAAUUUGCUCAAAUUACUUAAUGAGGAAGGUAUGGGUCCAUUCAAAUGGUUCGAAUAUAGCGCGACCUCAUUGAGCAAAUGCAAUUGUCCAAUUUCUUGGGGAAUGGAGCCAUUUAACUCAUUGGAAACCAGGUGCAAGACUGUUAGUUUAGUUAGAUGGCUUAUCUCUGUCGGUAUUUUCCCCAUGAACCGAUUGAUAGAGAGGUCAAGAUAGGUGAGAUUGCUCAAUAGACCGAUUUGAGGCGGAAUAUAACCAGAGAGACUAUUUAUACUCAGGUCCAUGUANNNNNNNNNNNNNNNNNNNNNNNNNNNNNNNNNNNNNNNNNNNNNNNNNNNNNNNNNNNNNNNNNNNNNNNNNNNNNNNNNNNNNNNNNNNNNNNNNNNNGGUUGACAGAGCAAAAUCGUUUAUCAGACGAUAUCUUCUACAAAGUGAUCCAGUGCACGGCUUGGAUUUGUUGCAUCUCUCACAGGAUCAGUGGGCUUCUGUGAUUUUUGAACUCCAUCAAAAAUGGUUGAACGAGCUGAUAGCGCGUGAGAAAUCAUUUUCAUUGACGGCCUGAGUUGGGGAUUAUCAGAUAUGCAAGCGACUGCAAGCUUUAGGAUGGUCAGAAGUUCAUCCUCAAUGCCUGGCAUGGGCGUUGGCAGGCGUGAAUCCAAUAUAUUCUUCAAAACUACUGAGAUCUCCAUGCCGACCGGAGCUAAUAGAGAUGAAAGACUAUCACCCGGAUGUCUUCCUUUGAUCACCUCGAUGGCUACUAUUCCAAAGCUAUACACAUCGCAUUUCUCUGUCACCUUCAUUGUGUAAGCAAGCUCUGCACAAAGAAGGAGAUAUAUGUGUUAGCACAAAUACAUCACUUUAGCUAAACCGUUGGAUCAAGAGUCGAUUUUAGAAAUUAACCUGGAGCUACGUAACCAUAUGUGCCGACGACUGCACUCCAGUUUGAUGUGUCCAACUUAAGAAGCUUAGCCGUGCCAAAGUCAGAAACAUGCGCCACAUACUCCGAAUCAAGCAGAAUGUUGUUACUCGAAAUAUCUCGAUGAACGAUUGGAGAAAUACAAUCAUGGUGCAUAUAGGAUAGAGCAUGAGCCACCCCUUUUACUAUGUUCACCCUCUUGUUCCAAUCCAACUCCAUGGCUUCUUCUUCAUUGCUCAAGAUUGUAGACAAGCUUCCUCUAUCAAAGUACUCAUACACCAAGAAUGAGUGUUGUGGAUGCGAACAAAAGCCCUCUAGUUUCACAAUAUUGCGAUGUCGAAUUUCCGUCAAUGCCUUAAUCUCAUUCAAAAAUUCCUUUUGAUUUGUUUGCCCACUAUCAGCUGUUUGAUAGAGCUUCUUUACAGCUACUAUAUCACCUGAUCUUAAUUUGGCCUUGAAGACACUUCCAUAGCCUCCCCUUCCAAUACAGAAAAUCUCAUCAAAAGCCCCAGUGGAUUCUAUGAUGUCUUCAUAUAAGAUCAUUCCACCGUACUUUGAUAGAGAAAAGACUUUAGUUGUCUUGCUUGAUAGGUCCGCUUUUGGAUGGAACUUCUUUCUAAGGAAAAUGAAGAAUAUUCCAAAGAAAAUAAACAACACUACUCCUAGCAGAGAAAACGCAAUAAGAAUAACCCUACCUCCCGUUGAAGAGUUUUCCCUAUCCACCACUGCUUGAUUACAUGGCUUAAGUCCUCCAACAUUUCCACACAAUCCGUUGUUGCCUUCAAACGCUUCUUUUGUUGCAUUUUGGAAUGCGGUGGUGUUGGGGAUGGGACCCUCAAACUUGUUGUGAGAGACGUCCACCUCCAUCAAACCUCGCAUAUCCUUGAAAGUCUCAUAUAUAAGGCCAGAAAGAUUAUUGUGUGAAAGGUUGAGUUUCACUAGGCUUUCUAGCUUGUUGAAUUGAGUUGGGAUCUCACCGCUUAACAAGUUAUGACUCAAGUCUAGCUCGGAUAAAUGAGUUAGCAUCCCUAAUUGGCCUGGAAU